RNAcentral lists this unclassified non-coding RNA (230 nucleotides) under Glomus sp. RNAcentral's name for it is "partial contains 5.8S ribosomal RNA and internal transcribed spacer 2". The stretch from base 1 to 65 matches the Rfam family "5.8S ribosomal RNA", at positions 84 to 154 of the family's 154-position model. Lineage: Eukaryota; Fungi; Glomeromycota; Glomeromycetes; Glomerales; Glomeraceae. The record is from RNAcentral.
GUGAAUCAUCGAAUCUUUGAACGCAAAUUGCACUCUCCUCGGAGAGUAUGCCUGUUUGAGGGUCAGCCUCUAAAAAACCGCCUUCGUUGCUGUUUCGCGGUGCCGUGCGUCGGAAAUUGGGUCAUCUUAAUUCUUUUGGUUUUAAGCGACUUAAUAUUUUCUUUUUGGUUCUAUGAACGUUUCUAAAAUUUAUUUCUUUACACGUUUAAGGUAUCUUGUUUUAUUAGAUG